ACCCUGUAUCUAGACAUUAGC
Molecule: unclassified non-coding RNA, 21 nt
Filed under: Mus musculus (house mouse)
Lineage: Eukaryota; Metazoa; Chordata; Mammalia; Rodentia; Muridae
Description: oocyte_clustered_small_RNA4793
Source: RNAcentral